AGACAAGGGGCAUUUCCCCUUGCCACCACGUUAGAAAUAGGAAGGACCUUCCGGGAAGAAGGGGAAAGGGGCAGAGCUGGGCAAAGCCCCGCAGCCUCAGGCAGGAGGCCUGGGUGAGCACUGCUUCUCAGGCCUGGGAGGGAGAGGGUCCUGGUGUGGGGUCCCUGCUGAGUCUGAGGGAGGCAGUGGGGUUUCCCUUUCUGUUUUGUUAGGGUCUUCAAGAAGUCGAGCCCUAACUGCAAGCUCACCGUGUACUUGGGCAAGCGGGACUUC
Molecule: small RNA, 273 nt
Filed under: Pan troglodytes (chimpanzee)
Lineage: Eukaryota; Metazoa; Chordata; Mammalia; Primates; Hominidae
Description: retained intron
Source: RNAcentral